RNAcentral lists this ribosomal RNA (816 nucleotides) under uncultured organism. RNAcentral describes it as "bacterial SSU rRNA". It matches the Rfam family "Bacterial small subunit ribosomal RNA", at positions 700 to 1510 of the family's 1533-position model. The record is from RNAcentral.
CAAGGAACACCACUACGGGAAAGCGACCUCAGUGGCUAUGUUCUCUCGCUGAGGUCACGACAGAUAGGGUAGCGAACAAGAUUAGAUAGCGUACUAGUCUAGACAGCAAAGUAGUAGCAGCGGUUUGGAGAGUCCUCCAUAGCUUUCCAGCGGUAGCGAAAGUGUUAAGUGCUCCGUCCGGCGUGUGUAGUCGCAAGGCUGAAACUCAAAGCAAUGGACGGGGGCUCACACAACCCGUGGGGGAUGUGGCUUAAUUCGAGGCGACGCGAAGAACCUUACCUUGGAUUUGACAUGCUUGGGAAUCCCCCGAAACAGGGGAGUGCCUUCGGGAGCCCUUGCACAGCUGGGGCAGCAUGGUCGUCAGCACGUGUCGUGAGAUGUCGGGUUAAGUCCUUUAACGAGCGAAACCCCCCUCGUUAGUCCCAGCGGGUAAAGCCGGGGACUCUAAUAAGAGACCGGUGUUAAACCGGAGGAAGGUGGGGAUGACGUCAAGUCCUCAUGGCCUCUAUAUGUCCAGGGCUACACGUCCUACACAAUGGUGUACAAAGGGAAUUAACUACCGAGAGUAAGCAAAUAAUCAAAAAACGCGCCCCAGUUCGGAUUGCAGGUUGCAACUCGCCUGCAUGAAGCCGGAAUCGCUAGUAAUCGCGGGUCAGCAUACCGCGGUGAAUAUGUUCUUCCGGGUUGUACACACCGCCCGUCAACACACGAAAGUGGGGGGCUACUCCAGUCGCCGAGCUAACCCGUAAGGGAGGCAAGCUCCCCACCGGAACUCCGUGAUUGGGAUGAAGUCGUAACAAGGUAACCAAGGGCGAA